This 494-nucleotide ribosomal RNA is filed under the name uncultured bacterium. RNAcentral's name for it is "partial 16S ribosomal RNA". It matches the Rfam family "Bacterial small subunit ribosomal RNA", at positions 28 to 507 of the family's 1533-position model. The record is from RNAcentral.
GACGAACGCUGGCGGCGCGCUUAACACAUGCAAGUCGAACGGAAAGGCCUGCUUUCCCUUGUGGAUUGCGGGUACUCGAGUGGCGAACGGGUGAGUAACACGUGAGUGAUCUGCCCCCAACUUGGGUAUAAGCCUGGGAAACUGGGUCUAAUUCCCGAUAGGACUGCAGGGUGGUGCCUGUGGUGGAAAACGAUUUUCUUGUGGUUGGGGAUGAGCUCGCGGCCUAUCAGCUUGUUGGUGGGGUAAUGGCCUACCAAGGCGGCGACGGGUAGCCGGCCUGAGAGGGUGGACGGCCACAUUGGGACUGAGAUACGGCCCAGACUCCUACGGGAGGCAGCAGUGGGGAAUAUUGCACAAUGGGCGGAAGCCUGAUGCAGCGACGCCGCGUGGGGGAUGACGGCCUUCGGGUUGUAAACUCCUUUCGACCGCGAGGAAGCCACCUGGUUGGAAGGGUGGUGACGGUAGUGGUAGAAGAAGCACCGGCUAACUACGUG